UACGUAGGGGGCAAGCGUUAUCCGGAUUUACUGGGUGUAAAGGGAGCGUAGACGGUAAAGCAAGUCUGAAGUGAAAGCCCGGGGCUCAACCCCGGGACUGCUUUGGAAACUGUUUAACUAGAGUGCUGGAGAGGUAAGCGGAAUUCCUAGUGUAGCGGUGAAAUGCGUAGAUAUUAGGAGGAACACCAGUGGCGAAGGCGGCUUACUGGACAGUAACUGACGUUGAGGCUCGAAAGCGUGGGGAGCAAACAGG
RNAcentral lists this ribosomal RNA (253 nucleotides) under uncultured bacterium. RNAcentral describes it as "partial 16S ribosomal RNA". It matches the Rfam family "Bacterial small subunit ribosomal RNA", at positions 524 to 776 of the family's 1533-position model. RNAcentral also lists the same sequence under 1 other name. The record is from RNAcentral.